CCCUCAAGUGAGGAAUACCGGCGAGAAAUCGCCGACAAGACCGCAUAGGUCUGGGGCUCUUUCGGGAGUGCCAGGCAAAGCUGUUCUUUGCAAGGAGAAGAGCGCUUGAGGAGGGGCCCGCGGCCGAUUAGCUAGUUGGUGAGGUAAAGGCUCACCAAGGCUGCGAUCGGUAGCUGGUCUGAGAGGACGAGCAGCCACACUGGGAUUGAGAACGGCCCAG
RNAcentral lists this ribosomal RNA (220 nucleotides) under uncultured bacterium. RNAcentral describes it as "partial 16S ribosomal RNA". It matches the Rfam family "Bacterial small subunit ribosomal RNA", at positions 129 to 334 of the family's 1533-position model. The record is from RNAcentral.